RNAcentral lists this long non-coding RNA (2736 nucleotides) under Sus scrofa (pig). RNAcentral's name for it is "lncRNA (ENSSSCG00045030088.1)". Lineage: Eukaryota; Metazoa; Chordata; Mammalia; Artiodactyla; Suidae. The record is from RNAcentral.
AGCUUCUGCUCAUCCUCUGCCGAGGGGAAGGGUGAAAUGAGAGGGUCUGAGGUUUCCAUGAUCUUUUUCAACAGUCAUGAUCCCUCGACUAAGGUUCCUUCGUGUCUAAUGCAGCCCCUGAAGCCUGCCAUCUUUAUCCCGAGCUUCCUGGUACCUGGAUGCUGAAGCUUUAACGGCCUCCAGAUCAGCUACCACGUAAAGGUGGUGAGAGCCCAGGAAGAGCCAGUGCUGGGUGAGCAGAGAGGUGAGGCACGCAGCGUCCCAUAGCACCCCCACUUCCUUUUCUGGGGGUUCACAGGGUCCGUCCUUGUGGAUGGCUGCACGGGACACAGGGGAAACCAGGAGUCCUGUGGCCAGUGCCUGGGGUGUGGCCCCCGCUCGGGAUGGGAAGAGCGGGUCUCGUUUGGGCAAACCCUGCUCUGCUUCCUGCUGUGCCCCUUCCUGCCGGAGCACUGAUUUUCAGGGGUGGCCUCGCCAUUUAGUGGCAUCAUCUUUGGCCUCCACAGUCGUAACCUUGGGGGUGCUGCCCGCCCCCCAGAAGAGCAGCAUUGGCUGAACCUAAGAGACUGAGCGGCGAUGAGUGAUGGGGUGACCCUGGACAGGUCACUGCCUUUCCCUUUCCUCCUUCUGAGGGUUCCCGUUGCAAAGUCACCACGGCGUCUCCCAACACUCCUUCUCGCCCUUGUGAUCUGUGAUUUUUAGAGGGGAGACCCCUUGGCCGUUACAAGGAUGGAGUCCUGAGAUGUAUUACACUGACGGACACAGAGCCCCACCCACUCAGAGGCAGAAAGAUAAACUGGUGAUGCGGAUGUCACCAUUACAGCAAAAGCUAGUUUAUUCGACAGGCAAUUGCUCAGAAGUUUUCAGGUUGACAAGGACCAAUAUUCUGAGUCAUGACCUGAGGCUGAGACCCCGACCCCCAGAACCAAAAAUGCUCCAUGAUGCUGAGUGGAGUUCUAACGCAGAGCUGAGCUGGCAGCUGUGCCCGGGACCUGGCCAGGCGGACAAAGAAGCCGCGCUGGGGUCUGGAGACAGGGGUCCAAAAGUCUCCUAGACUGGCGAGUGGUACCAGACUGGCCUCUUCCGGUGCUUCUCUGUCUGCCUCUCUCAGGCGGAAAUCUGAAGUCCCGCCAACCCGAGGAGGGGCAGGACAUGCACCCAGUCAUUGCUGCAGGCCCCCUCCAGUUUCAGACCCAUGACUUUUCUCGCCCUCAAACUGCUGCUUGCUUCUGCUUGGUUCCGCGGUGCUCCCGUGCACCUGGACCUGCAAGAGCACACGGCCACCACGUCCCGGCACAAUGACCGCCAGCAUCAUCUUGCGUUCAGCCAGCUAGAUCAUACGCUGGGGCCCCAAGCGCAAAGCUCUCUGUUGCGUGGCCUCCCCUUUCCCUUCCGCUUGCCUUCGGUUCAGAGAUCUUCAACAUCAAAAGCGACACCAUCGAAAGUGACCCAUGCGGCACCUUGACGUCUCUCCACCUUGAGUAAACACGUCUUCGAAAAAGGCCUUGGAAGACGACUGUUGGUUUCGGCAGUGCCUUUUCGAGGGUAUUAAGACGGGCCAGGAAAACAGAGAGCAGCCUGGAAAGGAGGACUCUCCAUGCCGACAGGAAAGGUUUCACUGCAACCACCAGCGCCGAGUAGGCGACCAGGCGGUCCCGCGGCCGAAGGAUGAUCUUGGUGGGCGGCAGGCGGAGGGGGCUUCCCCGAAGCAUGAAGUAGCCAAAGGCUCCGAGGCACCCGGCACCCAGGAUGCGAAUCCGUGUCACCCCGCGGGAAACACCAGGCAGGGCACAAACCAGAAGGGGUACCGAAAACUCGCGACUUUCACCAUGUCCAGAGAGGAGCGGAAGACGAAAGGGGCGACGGCAAAGCAACAAUGGUGUCAUUUGACAGACACAAAGCGACCUCUCACAGGUCGUCUUAAAAUAGGAGGAUGCACAGAAGGCAGAGGAGGGAGAGGGAAAUGCCACGAGCAGGAGACCCUCGGAGACCUACGACUGUGCCCAAGAGACGGGAGGUCUUUCUUGAGUCGGGCUUAUCAAGGUUCAACUUGCAUUCAGCAAAAGCCCUCGUUUUAAGGGCGUAGUUCUUUGAGGUUGGACAAAGGCCUGCGGACCUGUAGCCACCACCCCAGCCAAAUACGGCAUCUUUGCCACCAUUCUGUUCCCCUUGGAGCCAGUCCCCUCCCCCAGCUCCAGGCGAUCAGGGAUCUGCUUUCUGUCGUUCUGUCCCUGUAGCUUUGUCUUUCCCAAAACAUCAUGUAAGCAGUACCAGGCAGCGUGUCACCUGUCGCGUGGUGCAUAAUGCUAUCGAGAGUCACCCACGUGAUCACACGUGUCAGGAACUCAAGCCUCUUCAAUCCCGAGUGACAGUUCAUGGCACAGAUGCACCACAGUGGAUCCGCUACCAGUUAACGGCCAUCUGGGUUGUGUCCAGGUUUUCGCAAUUAUAAGUGAAGCUGCCAUAAACCCUCGUGAGCAGGGGUUUGUGUGGAACUGAGUUUCAAUGGCACACAGUAAACGCGUGUUCAACAUUGUAAGAAACCACCGGAGCUCCCCCUGUGAUGCAACAGAAUCAGCGGCGUCUUGGGAGCCCUGGGAGGCAGGGCUGAUCCCUGGCCCAGCACCGCGGGUUAAGGAUCUGGUGAUGCUGCAGCUGCGCAACUGUGUCUCGGAUCUGAUCCCUGUCCCCGGAACUCCAUAGGCUGUGGGCGGACAAAAAAGAAAAAAAAAAAAA